Folsomia candida is the source of this 2504-nucleotide RNA transcript. RefSeq lists it as uncharacterized. The record is from RefSeq and is a predicted model, not a curated record. The transcript has 3 exons. NCBI's taxonomy places the organism in Eukaryota, Metazoa, Arthropoda, Collembola, Entomobryomorpha, Isotomidae.
UUUGCAUUUAAUCCAUUUUCUUCGCCAGUCCAUGUCUCCACUUUCACAAGGACAGACAUACAUAUAUUCCCGUCAUGGCUAAUAAAAUCUGGUCAGUUUUACCGCCCAUCGUUGUCCUCCUAGCUACAUUUCAUCAUUUGACCUUUGCCUGUAUUUGUUCUCCCCCUCACGACAUUCCCAUAUCUGACCCCAUUUGGAAGGAUUACGUUGAGACAGUUAAAGUUCUGAAGUGUUCAAAUUGUACAGAUAUUCCGACCAACCAUGACCCUUCAUCCAUUACAAAGCUUGACCUCAGUUCCGGUGACAACAAAUUGACCCAUCUCACCCCGAAUAUCUUCGUUAAUAAAGCUUUCUUUAAUCUAAGGGAGAUAAAUUUAUCCAACUGUGGAAUUAUGGAUGUCGAUAAGGACGCAUUUCUCGGUAUACAACCCAUCAAAUUACUAACCCUUGACCUCAGCUACAACUCCGUGUCAUCCAUAGAUACUGGAAGUGUAUCUGUGAGGAAUUUAAACUUGCGGGGAAAUCCAAUAAAAAACUUAACAUUUGCUACAUAUUUCAUGCAGCAGUUAGACUUGAGUAAUUGUUCGUUGGAUGAAACUUUACCAAAUGCUCCAUUCGUGGACAGGCUCUUAAACAAAAUAAACCUGGAGUCCAACAAAUUAACGACCUUGUCUUGGAAGGAAUUUCGGAAAACAAGUUUACUAAAUAUCUCGUUGAAAGGCAAUCCUUGGAGGUGCGAUUGUCAUAUGCAAUUUUUGAGGGAAUAUUUACUCAAUGUGAAAGACAUCGAUAUUUCGAAGGACGAGAUUUGUGAUUCACCCCCAGAACUGAGGGGACGAGGAUUACCCUCGAUUCCAAGAAAUCAAGGGUUGCCUUGUCCCUUAAAAUACAGCGGAUUGAGUGGAACUGUGAGUGAUGGGAAAAUUGCGCUCAAGUGUUUAACCGAGGGUAUGCCUGAGCCCGUGGUCAAAUGGUACCAGGAGGAAUUUAGAACGGAUAAUUUGAUACACAGAUAUGUAAACUGAAAAAUAUUGAAAGGUUCAUAUGCCAAGUAUUUAGUUAAUUGUGAAGACCAACUUGAUGUAUUAAUAAUCCAGAAUACCGACCUACCAACCUGGAAUAGAAAUGUAUAAGGAGCCCUUGCCUAACUCGGAGACCGGGCAGCUCUACCGAUACCAAUGGGAACACAGGUUGGAAAUCUCGGACAACAGUUCGGUUUAUGGGGGCCCGUGGAUUUUUGUGUGUACCGCGGAAAACCAGUAUGGCAUUGCAAGACAACAGAUUAUAGUGACUCGUCCGACUGUGCGGCCAGUAAAGCGACAACCGGUCUAUGUUCGUAAUGCGUCACAAGGAAACGUCCAAAUCUUCCCGGAGGAAAUAGUUAAUGCUCAACCACCAGUAUUACGAGACUCCAAAAACGUAUCGACUGCCAAUAUUACGGAGCGAACCCAAUGCCCACAAAUCUUAAUUUCGAAUGUUUCACAAGAAAUAAUUCGCUUUGACGACUCGUAUUUUACACAGAUUUCGCUAGUACUUUGUAUCUUGUUGGUGGUAUGUUUGAUUGUUUUUGUAGCCAUGAUCGUCUUGCUGGUAUUGGUUGUAAGAAACUUGCAGCGUUUGAUUCCAGACAAUCUCAUGAUGAGAGACGGGAGAAUUUAUGCGAGCUCAAGUUACCCCUCUGGAAGUGCUCCGAAGCCGCCUCCGAGUUAUCGUAGCAGAAUGGAAGAAAGUUUGUAUGGGGAGUCGUACGCGAAUGUCACGUAUUUGAAGAAAUAUUGAGCAAAUUUUUCUACUGUUUCGUAAUUCAUUUCUUUAGGUUAUGUAUAUAAAUAUAUAUGCAAGCUUACAAAUUUGAUGUCAAAUAGAUCUCCCAACAUAAAUAUGUAUGUACCUCUGGAGUACCUAUAUCUACCGAUAGAUAUUUGGGAGAGCAGUUUUCAAUAAAUAAGUACAUAUUAUGUACUUGUGGGCGUGUGAAUAUUCGCAUGCCAUAUUUUCAAGAUUGUAUAUAUUUGCCAGUACAAUAUGUGUAGGCAGGAAAAAUUCAUUACUGUAUGAUACAGUAUCUAAUAAAGCUUAAGGUACCAGACCAACGAUAUUCCCUAGAUACUAUGGGGUUUUUCGAACCCAAUUUUCUGAGUUUGGGUUAAUGCUACAUAUUUUUCGUAGUGUAAAACUUGCCGAAAAUUUAUAACAGAAUUUUAUAAAAGUUAAGCUGGAGGUGACAAAAAUUCCGAUCUCUGUACAACACGAUUUUAACAAAACUCCGUUUUGUAUCAUUCAAAAAACCAUAGCAUUUUAACCUAUGAUGCUACGACGGUCAUCAAGGUCUCAAAAUGUAGCUUAUUAUAUUGUGGAGGUGUCGCGCUGGGUCUAACUGCACAUAACUUACAUUAUGUUAAAAUAAAAAAUAUAAACCCAACUUAUUUUACUGUUAUUAUGGAUUAUUUGCCAAUAAUUUAUUUUUGUACUCAUAAUGGAAGCUGGAGACCCAGCGCGACACC